Molecule: long non-coding RNA, 847 nt
Organism: Acanthochromis polyacanthus (spiny chromis)
Lineage: Eukaryota; Metazoa; Chordata; Actinopteri; Pomacentridae
Exons: 3
Source: RefSeq, a predicted model, not a curated record
AUAUUUUGUUUAUAUCUGGUAAAUUCAUGUCAGUCACAUGAUCCGGCCUGCUGAAACGAUAUUUAUACAUUGUAGCAAUAAUAAUAAUGCUUAUCUGCUUUUGUGUUUCAGUUUUACUGCUAGUAGCUACAUUAAACAAAUUCAACUUGGAGCCUUUUCCCCAAGUCUAGUGAUUGGAGAUGAAGUUUAUCUGCCUGUCAGUUCAUGCAAGGCGUGUGAGGAUGACAGGACAAGGACAGUAAAUGCAAAGCUGACUGUGUGUCAAACCACACAUUUGUUCAUGUACACAAACAAAGUUCUGAAAUCUGGAUCCAAAACCAUUGCGUGUUCAUACAUAUUAACAGACUGACUAAAAGAAAUAUUAAAAGAAAGAUGUGUGGUUUCCUGUUAGCAGCAGCAAAACAGAAAUGAAGCUUCCUCCUCCAACUAGAAGAUAGCGGUCCUCCUUCUCAGAGCAGUGAAGAAAGAACUUUUAAAACAGCUUCUUGUGUCAGUAUUUUCCAGUUGGACUGUAUGUACUGUAUGUAUGUGGUUGGACACAAACUGACUCCUGGAUAUGGCAGCUCUCUGGGGUCUCACCGUCCUGCUGCUCUUUGCUCCGUUCAUCGGUUUGGCUGAAUUUUGUUAUGACUUUGAUCCAAGUGAAAUAAAACAGACUGUUUCCACUGGACUUCCUGCAACGAUCGAACCAACGUUCCCUUCAGAAUGCAGAAGUCUCUCUGUUGAUUACACCUGUUCAGAAAAUGGAAAAGUCAAUGACUCCAAGAAACUGUCUGAGCUGGAGCCUUUCACAGACUACACCUGUACUGGUCUGAUUAAAGACAACAACGUCCCCUUAGAUAAGAGA